Molecule: ribosomal RNA, 381 nt
Filed under: uncultured archaeon
Lineage: Archaea
Description: bacterial SSU rRNA
Rfam family: Archaeal small subunit ribosomal RNA
Source: RNAcentral
ACACCGGCGGCCCGAGUGGUGAUCGUGAUUAUUGGGUCUAAAGGGUCCGUAGCCGGUUUGGUCAGUCCUCCGGGAAAUCUGAUGGCUCAACCAUUAGGCUUUCGGGGGAUACUGCCAGGCUUGGAACCGGGAGAGGUAAGAGGUACUACAGGGGUAGGAGUGAAAUCUUGUAAUCCCUGUGAGACCACCUGUGGCGAAGGCGUCUUACCAGAACGGGUUCGACGGUGAGGGACGAAAGCUGGGGGCACGAACCGGAUUAGAUACCCGGGUAGUCCCAGCCGUAAACGAUGCUCGCUAGGUGUCAGGCAUGGCGCGACCGUGUCGGGUGCCGCAGGGAAGCCGUGAAGCGAGCCACCUGGGAAGUACGGCCGCAAGGCUGAA